Molecule: long non-coding RNA, 326 nt
Filed under: Mytilus galloprovincialis (Mediterranean mussel)
Lineage: Eukaryota; Metazoa; Mollusca; Bivalvia; Mytilida; Mytilidae
Source: RNAcentral
UAUAUAUGUAGGACUCAAAUCUAGGGCGGGUUCCAAAUCUAUGGCAGAUUCCUAAUCUAUGGCAAAUGUGACGUUACAAAUGCAAAACAACUCAAAUCUAUGGUAGAUUUUUGUUUUCCUCAAGUCUAUGGCAGAUCUUUGAAUUGCGUCACAAUUGAAUAACGCCAUAUAACAUCGUCGCCCCCGCAAACGUUGGCGGAACCCGUAGAUUUGAACACCAUUCCUGAUACAGGCAUUUCCCUCGACAACAAUUUGCAGAUAGUCUCAAGGAAGAUGUGACCUAUUACUAGUAUUCGGAAGGCGGACGAAAUGUGCUGUACCGGCCA